This 3467-nucleotide long non-coding RNA is filed under the name Mytilus galloprovincialis (Mediterranean mussel). The record is from RNAcentral. Lineage: Eukaryota; Metazoa; Mollusca; Bivalvia; Mytilida; Mytilidae.
GUUUCAUCUAAGUAUGUUAUAAGUAGAUAUGUUAAUUACUUCUUCAAUUAAACUUGGAGAGACAUUGGUUGGUGUUCCAUUUUGACCAUUAGUUUUUUUUGGAAAUUUCUGUUUAGAAGAAAAAUACUAAACACUGAAGAAACAAUACUGGCUCAAAAUAAUUGUAUGAAAUAUUAUAAGAGUCAAUUUUUAUUUUAGUUUGUACUAUUUUAGAUCAUUUAUUUAGUGGGAAACAAAUAAAUGUAAGAAAGUACAGGGAAUUUUUUUGAGGUUAGUUUGCAAUAGAUAUAUGUAUAUGAUCUGCUAGUCUAGAUCUGAUAGUUGUGUUUAUGUUACUUUGCAUUUAGUCAUUUCUACACAAAUAUACAGAGCUUCAACAUUGACAUUUCAUUUUAUCACUAGUUAUUCCAAAUGUCACCUGUAUUGUUUAAUAAACAUUUAUAGAUAACAAUAUCAUUAUUCUCAUCAUCAUUUCCAUUGUAAAUAAACAUAUAGUGUUUGAUGUUUGCAUUAAAUUCCACGAUCAAAUUUGUGUUAUUUCAGUGGUAUUAAAAUUACUUUCAAUGAAUGUUAAACAAUAUCAUUUAACCCAUAAAGUUUCAGUUGAUGGAGUUGUCUCCCAUUUGAUGGAUUUAUCUCCCAUUUGAUGGAGUUAUCUCCCAUUUGAUGGAGUUAUCUCCCAUUUGAUUGAGUUAUCUCCAUUAUCAUUGGAAAUUUUUAAAUACACUUAAUAACUGGGAAAUUGCAGUGAUUUAAUAGAAAUGUUUUGAAAGACUUAUUGAGUCCAUGCUAUUCUGCUUUUACAGAUUUUUUUUUUAUUCUGAGUCAAGAUAAGUAGUUUUUUUAGGGCAUUCGGGAAACUCAUUUUUUUAUUAGAUUUGAUAAUUAAGUUUAUAAGGGCAAUAUUUUGUGAUGCAUAUUGUCAUAUGUUAAAGAUUUAUUGCUAGGAACAAAAGCAGAGUAGGUUAUUAUGGUUUUUAGGAUACAUCAAAUUAAAGAUUGAUACAUAGAUGGAAAUACAUCACUGCUUUCUUCAUAUUCAUAUAAAAUUAAUGAAAAAUAUUAUAAGGGAGGUAAAGCAUGUCUAAAGUAGCCUGAUGCCAUAAAACACUAGAUUCUACUAAAGAUGUUUCUCAUUUCUUAAUUUAUAUUGAGUCUUUCUAGGGAAUUAUAUGUUUUUGUUCGAAGCAAAGAAAUUGUAUAGACCUGGAACAUUAUAGGGCAAAAUUUAAAAAAAUCAAAGUAACAACCCUAUUUUUAAACAUUAAACUGUGCAUGAAAUCUUACAACAAAUACUUUACCAAAAUCUCAAUUCAUAGUGAGAAAAUUAAUGAUUAAUGCCAUCAAAUACAGGUCUUUCAAAUUUGUUAAACGGAAUUGAUUGUAAUAAAAUUUGCUUUAAAUUGACUGUAAAUUAAGCGAACAAUUGGUUGACAACAAGUUGAACUGGUCGUUACCCUUUUCCAGUAUGUGUAUUAAAGGAGUACAUGUAUACUGUAGAUUCAUUAUUAUUUUCCUUGGAUACAAAUUUGUGUGGUUUUCAUGGGUACAGGUGAACCAUGAAUUCAAAUGUUCAAUGAAGUACACAGUAUCUAUAGUCUUUGAAUUCAAAGAUUGGCUCAACCACGAAAUCAAAUACCCACGAAAAUACUGGAUUUCCUCAAUCCAUGAAAAUUGAUACCCAUGAAAUAAAUUGAAUCCACGGUACUCCAUUAUAGGAGCAAGAAGAAAUGUCUACAAUAAUAAUCUCAGAAAAUGUACAGCAUAAUCAUAUGAAAUUACUUUUAUUUAUCUUUGAAAAAGUUAUUUAUACAGCCUGAUUUUCUGCCAUAGUAGGAACACAAUUGUAUAGUUAUGAUUUAUGCCAUAGUAGAAAUAAUAUUGUAAAAUUACUAUGAUUUUUGCCAUAGUAGGAGGAAAUUUUAUAAUUACUAUGAUUUACGCCAUAGAAGGACAAAUAUUUUAUAAUUACUACCCAUAGUUUGUAUUGUUCAUUGUCCCACAUGAGUCGUUGUGAUGAUUUUUUUUACAAAUUGUACAUUUAUCAUGUAUCAUAUACCAUAUUAAAUAUGUAUUUGUUGUAUACUUAGUUCACGAAUCAAACAUUUUGUUUUUAUAUCUGUAAUAUUAUCAAGGAAAUCAUUUUAGAUGUGUAAAAAUUGGUAGAACAAUAGUAGUAUUGGCUUGAUAGAAAAAUUCUUGAUUUUAGAGUUUACAACUAUUUGUUUGUUGAACACUGAACCUUCUUCAUCAGUAAAGUAUUCUGGGUGAAAGAUUGUUUUGUAAAAUUGUCAAAAUUAUUGAGGAACUUGAAGUGAACAAGGGAUUCAUGUAAAAACCUUCUGUUUUAGGGGUUUGGUUAUAUAUGUCUGAGUUUUAGAGCAUGUAAAGCUUUAUUAGAAUUACAAUAAUGAGCUGCUUAGGAAUUUAGGAUCUCCUCCAUUUACUUAGUAACACUUUAAAACCAUGAGGUCCAAAUUUGAAUGAUGCAAUGUUUUGAAAAAGCAAGAAAGAAGAAUUAUUCAGUAAUAGAUUUUGAAAAAAUUUACGUAGUUAAAAUUUAAUUUAAUAUUCUCAUUGUUUUUCCCAUUGAUAAAAACAAAAUGAUAACCAAAGUUAUAAUAUUAUAAUUCUAAAUUCCAUAAACAAGGAUGUAAGAAACAGGACUUAUACAAUCCUAACAGGGUUUGUAUUGCUGGUGUGUUAUAAAUACUUCCAACUGAAAGGAGAAGAUUCGGAGUUCAACAAACAAAGGUUGAUUUUUCGUAUUGAUAUUCAGUCUGAAUUUACUUGCUUCACUAAGGGAAAUAACAUUCCACUUAUAUAUUUUAUCUGUUUUUUCUUCAUUCCUUUACAAAUGCUUAAAGAUAUACUUCUUAUUGUUACAUAGCUUUAGAAAUUCACCUAAUUUUCUACACUUGAAUAAAUAGUAUUUUCCUAGUACCUGUUAUUUUUUUUGCCAGUGUCACUGUGUUAUUUUAAUGCUGUAUGUUUUGUUUAGUUUCAAAAGAUAUCAAAAACUUAUUCAAACUUGUGUGUCGAAAACAAACUAACGAUGGCAUGACAAAAAUCCCAAAACAGUCAAAAGAUAAGCAAGUAUAUACAAAAGUAACAAAACAUAGAAAAUCUAAAGAGUGCAACAAAAACUAAAAACCUGAGAUGAUCUCAUGUGUUCCUGAAGGUUAAUCACACCUGGCUUUUUUGUGACACCAGUUCAUUUUCUGUGUUGUCCUGUGACAAUUUUCUGUCUAGACUUUUUUUUUGAACCAUCUGAUAUACUAGCUGGUUAUCUUAUGUCAUAGAUUCGAGUAAAACCUGUACACAUGUAUACUUUGAUUCCUAACCUCCAGGAUAACAUCCAAUCAAAUUGAAGUAUAAGGUCUAACUCCGCCUAUUCAUAUUGUUUACAGAUGAUAAUCUUAAUGACAAUGCUUGAACAAACAUUUAUACAACACAAAGCAAACUAG